GCAAUGGUGUCUUUAGACACCACCACUACCUUCAGAUCCUAUGUUU
This is a non-coding RNA of Picea glauca (white spruce), 46 nucleotides long. NCBI's taxonomy places the organism in Eukaryota, Viridiplantae, Streptophyta, Pinopsida, Pinales, Pinaceae. The record is from Rfam.